This 457-nucleotide ribosomal RNA is filed under the name uncultured soil bacterium. Its description in RNAcentral is "bacterial SSU rRNA". It matches the Rfam family "Bacterial small subunit ribosomal RNA", at positions 26 to 483 of the family's 1533-position model. The record is from RNAcentral.
AGAUUGAACGCUGGCGGCAUGCCUUACACAUGCAAGUCGAACGGUAGAGUAGCAAUACUCGAGAGUGGCGAACGGGUGAGUAAUAUAUCGGAACGUGCCCAGUCGUGGGGGAUAACGUAGAGAAAUUUACGCUAAUACCGCAUACGUCCUACGGGAGAAAGCGGGGGACCUUCGGGCCUCGCGCCAUUAGAUGAGCCUAGGUCGGAUUAGCUAGUUGGUGAGGUAAUGGCUCACCGAAGGCGACGAUCCGUAACUGGUCUGAGAGGAUGAUCAGUCACACUGGAACUGAGACACGGUCCAGACUCCACGGGAGCAGCAGGUGGGAAUGUGACAAUGGGCAAAGCCUGAUCCGAAGCCAUGCCGCGUGUGUGAAGAAGGUCUUCGGUAUUGUAAAGCUACGUUUAAGUGGAAGGUAAGGUUAGUAACUUAGUAACGUUGACGUAACUUUGACGUUACC